CACCGGCAGCUCGAGUGAUGGCCGAUAUUAUUGGGCCUAAAGCGUCCGUAGCUGGCCGGACAGGUCCGUUGGGAAAUCCACUCGCUCAACGAGUGGGCGUCCAGCGGAAACCGUUCGGCUUGGGACCGGAAGACCCGAGGGGUACGUCCGGGGUAGGAGUGAAAUCCUGUAAUCCCGGACGGACCACCGGUGGCGAAAGCGCCUCGGGAAGACGGAUCCGACAGUGAGGGACGAAAGCUAGGGUCUCGAACCGG
RNAcentral lists this ribosomal RNA (254 nucleotides) under uncultured archaeon. Its description in RNAcentral is "partial 16S ribosomal RNA". It matches the Rfam family "Archaeal small subunit ribosomal RNA", at positions 474 to 727 of the family's 1478-position model. The record is from RNAcentral.